Molecule: ribosomal RNA, 515 nt
Filed under: uncultured bacterium
Lineage: Bacteria
Description: partial 16S ribosomal RNA
Rfam family: Bacterial small subunit ribosomal RNA
Source: RNAcentral
GAUGAACGCUGGCGGCGUGCCUAAUACAUGCAAGUCGAGCGAAUGGAUUAAGAGCUUGCUCUUAUGAAGUUAGCGGCGGACGGGUGAGUAACACGUGGGUAACCUGCCCAUAAGACUGGGAUAACUCCGGGAAACAGGGACUAAUACCGGAUAAUAUUUUGAACUGCAUGGUUCAAAAUUGAAAGGCGGCUUCGGCUGUCACUUAUGGAUGGACCCGCGUCGCAUUAGCCAGUUGGUGAGGUAACGGCUCACCAAGGCAACGGUGCGUAGCCGACCUGGGAGGGUGAUCGGCCACACUGGGACUGAGACACGGCCCAGACUCCUACGGGAGGCAGCAGUAGGGAAUCUUCCGCAAUGGACGAAAGUCUGACGGAGCAACGCCGCGUGAGUGAUGAAGGCUUUCGGGUCGUAAAACUCUGUUGUUAGGGAAGAACAAGUGCUAGUUGAAUAAGCUGGCACCUUGACGGUACCUAACCAGAAAGCCACGGCUAACUACGUGCCAGCAGCCGCCGUAA